AACGUAGGGGGCGAGCGUUGUCCGGAAUUACUGGGCGUAAAGGGCGCGUAGGCGGUUCUUUAAGUCAGAGGUGAAAACUGUCGGCUCAACCGGCAGCCUGCCUUUGAAACUGGAGGACGUGAGGGCAGGAGAGGGGAGUGGAAGUACCAGUGGAGCGGUGAAAUGCGGAGAUCGUGGGAGGAAAACCAGUGGCGAAGGCGGCGCUCUGGCAUGUUGCUGACGCUGAGGCGCGCAAUCGUGGGGAUCCAACAGGAUUAGAUACCCCCGUAGUCC
Molecule: ribosomal RNA, 273 nt
Filed under: uncultured bacterium
Lineage: Bacteria
Description: partial 16S ribosomal RNA
Rfam family: Bacterial small subunit ribosomal RNA
Source: RNAcentral